Molecule: ribosomal RNA, 494 nt
Filed under: uncultured Flavobacteriaceae bacterium
Lineage: Bacteria; Pseudomonadati; Bacteroidota; Flavobacteriia; Flavobacteriales; Flavobacteriaceae
Description: bacterial SSU rRNA
Rfam family: Bacterial small subunit ribosomal RNA
Source: RNAcentral
GGGUUUAAAGGGUCCGUAGGUGGUCCAUUAAGUCAGAGGUGAAAGCCUAUCGCUCAACGAUAGAACUGCCUUUGAUACUGAUAGACUUGAGUUAUUGUGAAGUAGUUAGAAUAUGUAGUGUAGCGGUGAAAUGCAUAGAUAUUACAUAGAAUACCGAUUGCGAAGGCAGAUUACUAACAAUACACUGACACUGAGGGACGAAAGCGUGGGUAGCGAACAGGAUUAGAUACCCUGGUAGUCCACGCCGUAAACGAUGGAUACUAGCUGUAUGUCUACUUCAGGUAGAUGUGUGGCUAAGCGAAAGUGAUAAGUAUCCCACCUGGGGAGUACGAUCGCAAGAUUGAAACUCAAAGGAAUUGACGGGGGCCCGCACAAGCGGUGGAGCAUGUGGUUUAAUUCGAUGAUACGCGAGGAACCUUACCAGGGCUUAAAUGUAACGGGACAGAUCUAGAGAUAGAUCCUUCUUCGGACUCAUUACAAGGUGCUGCAUGGUU